This 254-nucleotide ribosomal RNA is filed under the name uncultured bacterium. RNAcentral describes it as "partial 16S ribosomal RNA". It matches the Rfam family "Bacterial small subunit ribosomal RNA", at positions 524 to 776 of the family's 1533-position model. The record is from RNAcentral.
UACGUAGGGUGCGAGCGUUGUCCGGAAUUAUUGGGCGUAAAGGGCUCGUAGGCGGUUUGUCGCGUCGGGAGUGAAAACACCGGGCUUAACUCGGAGACGCCACUCGAUACUGCCAUGACUCGAGUCCGGUAGGGGAGUGCGGAAUUCCUGGUGUAGCGGUGAAAUGCGCAGAUAUCAGGAGGAACACCGGUGGCGAAGGCGGCACUCUGGGCCGGUACUGACGCUGAGGAGCGAAAGCGUGGGGAGCGAACAGG